UACCUGGUUGAUGCCUGCCAGUAGUCAUAUGCGUUGUGCUCAAAGACUAAGCCAUGCAUGUCUAAGUAUAAGUAUUAUACAGCGAAACUGCGAAUGGCUCAUUAAAACAGUUAUAGUUUAUUUGAUAAUCGAAUUUACAUGGAUAACCGUGGUAAUUCUAGAGCUAAUACAUGCUGGUGUGCCCGACUUUUGUGGAAGGGCGGUAUUUAUUAGAUAACAAGCCAAUAUUCCUCUGGUCUAUUGUGGUGACUCAUAAUAACUGAUCGAAUCGCAAGGCCCAUGGCCGCGGUAAGUCAUUCAAGUUUCUGCCCCAUCAGCUUUCGAUGGUAGUGUAUUGGACUACCAUGGCGUUUACGGGUAACGGAGGAUUAGGGUUCGAUUCCGGAGAGGGAGCCUGAGAAACGGCUACCACAUCUAAGGAAGGCAGCAGGCGCGUAAAUUACCCAAUCCUGACUCAGGGAGGUAGUGACAAGAAAUAACGGACCGGGGCCUUACGGCUUCGGGAUUGCAAUGAGCCGAAUUUACACCCCUUAGCGAAGAUCGAUUGGAGGGCAAGUCUGGUGCCAGCAGCCGCGGUAAUUCCAGCUCCAAUAGC
This 595-nucleotide ribosomal RNA is filed under the name uncultured marine eukaryote. RNAcentral's name for it is "SSU rRNA". It matches the Rfam family "Eukaryotic small subunit ribosomal RNA", at positions 1 to 598 of the family's 1831-position model. The record is from RNAcentral.